CUAAGGAAUAUUACGGAAUACACAGGWUUUGCUUUUGUUCAGUUUUGAGAGGUUUACUCUCAAAAGAAUUGUUCAUUGAAAACUGGAUAUUGAAGAGAAACAUCAAUUAAUAAACCGAGAAAACACCGCGUUGAAUGAGUUUAAGAAGUUCAAUUGCUUUAUUUGAAAGAUCUGAUCGCACAGAUCGAA
Molecule: unclassified non-coding RNA, 189 nt
Filed under: Enterococcus columbae
Lineage: Bacteria; Bacillati; Bacillota; Bacilli; Lactobacillales; Enterococcaceae
Description: partial 16S-23S ribosomal RNA intergenic spacer
Source: RNAcentral